This is a long non-coding RNA of Labrus mixtus (cuckoo wrasse), 423 nucleotides long. RefSeq lists it as uncharacterized. The transcript has 2 exons. The record is from RefSeq and is a predicted model, not a curated record. Lineage: Eukaryota; Metazoa; Chordata; Actinopteri; Labriformes; Labridae.
AACAGUUCACUUCAUCAAUGAGUUGUUCAUCCAUAAUCACUGCUGCUUAAAAAAAUGGACAGUGACGAUAUCUGCUCUUUCUGUAUCCUCUCCACCAUGAAGUCCUGUCGAAGGAGGAAAUAUCGCUCUGUUUCCAGCUCUGUUGCUAUGGACCGCGUCAUCAUUGGACCAAUUGCUUGGGACAAGUCAACUAAGUGAGCUGGUUACACCAAAACAUCCCAUAAUGUCAUAUCAUGAAGACGUUUCUCUUAUACACAAGACAUGAAACUAUUUUAAAAACUGGUUUAACCUUUUAUAAUCAAACUUUUCACACUCACACACAGCCUGCUCUGAUUCUUCUGUCCUUUGUAAUGAUUGUGUAACAAAUCAACAAUAACAAAGAAAUAAUAAAAUGUAUUAAAAAAAACAUGUUACCAAACUCUU